RNAcentral lists this ribosomal RNA (468 nucleotides) under uncultured bacterium. Its description in RNAcentral is "partial 16S ribosomal RNA". It matches the Rfam family "Bacterial small subunit ribosomal RNA", at positions 28 to 507 of the family's 1533-position model. The record is from RNAcentral.
AACGAACGCUGGCGGCAUGCCUAACACAUGCAAGUCGAACGGAAACGCCCUGCUUGUUUGCGGUGCCCGGUGGCCCAACGGGGGAGUAACACGUGAGUAACGUGCUCUUCACUUUCGGGGAACUUCAGGAAGGUGGAGUUAAUCUCAUAUAGGAUCUCCCGCUGCAGUGUGGGCGGUGGAUAGUUGAGGCUGUUGGGGAUGGACUGGCCGCUUAUCAGCUUGUUGGUUGGGUAGUGGCUUACCAAGGCCUUGAAGGGUAGCCGGCCUGAGAGGGUGACCGGCCACCUUAGGACUGAGAUACGGCGCAGACUGGAACGGGAGGCAGUGGUGGGGAAUAUUGCACAGUGGGAGGGAGCCUGAUGCAGCAACGCCGCGUGUGGGAUGACGGCCUUCGGGUUGUGAACCGCUGUAGCCUGAGACGAAGCGUGAGUGACGGUACUGGGUAAAGAAGCACCGGCUAACUACGUG